Molecule: long non-coding RNA, 2904 nt
Filed under: Sus scrofa (pig)
Lineage: Eukaryota; Metazoa; Chordata; Mammalia; Artiodactyla; Suidae
Description: lncRNA (ENSSSCG00000061438.1)
Source: RNAcentral
GUCCUAUUCCCCCCGCCCUCAUGGAAUCUAUAAAGAAACAGGAUAAGGGGUUUCAUCAGAGCCUCAACUUUCCAAAUAGAUAUGAAGCCACUGUUUAUAGCUGCUGUGGAUAAAAUGUGGUCAUAUAUGCAGCUUUUAUAGCUGCUUAAAUUUUCUCAGGGUGUAUUGUAUGCAUUAUCAGAAAUUCGCAUGCUGUAGGUAGUUUUGAUGAUAAUAAGCUAAGAAGUUGGCCAAAACUGAGCGGUAGGCGGAUACCAUUUUCUAUUUGGCUGAAAAGGCAACUUUUUUAAAAUUAAAGUAUAGUUGAUUUAAAAUGUUGUGCCAGUUUCUGCUGUACAGCAGUUCCCUUUCCUAUAUUAUCUUCCAUUAUGUUCAAGAGACUAGAUGUGUUCCCUGAGCUGUACCAUAGGACCUCAUUGCUUAUCCAUUCUAAAUGUAACUGUUUGCAUUUGCUAAUCCCAAACUCCCUCCUCCCUCCCCUUGGUAACCACAAGUAUGUUCUCUAUGUCUGUGAGUCUGUUUCUGGUUUGUAGAUAGGUUCAUUUGUGUGAUAAGGCAGCUUUCAUGCCUUUAGAGGUCUGUUAGCCAUCCAGAGAAUCAGAAAGCAUUUAAAAAAUGUCUUGUUAGUUAAUAGUUUUUGUCAUAAUAUUGACUACUAGAAAGUAAAAAUGGCUAUCAAGCUGACAUUUAUCAUUUAGUAACAGUCACAAUUCUUUAUGUGCUCAGUAAUAAGUAAGCUUAAAAUAGGAAUGAUAUGACAUUUUUUCUUGAUAUUCUUAAAAAUUAACAUGAUUGUGCUGCUUAGAAAAAUCACUGUUUUCUAGGCUAUAUUGUAAGAACAAAAAAUUAGGCUAAGGUGUACACAUAAGUGGAACUCGUUUUGGUAUCCAUAUAAUUCUUUAAAAGGUGAAAGACACAACACAAAUCUCACAGUGUGCUCAGUACAUUGUAAUUUCUGUUAGAUAAUAUACUUUCACUUUUUAGUUUGGUAAAUAAAAAUUUGCCUCAACAUAUCCCUUGAUGUCCUCCUUGGGCAAAUUGAGCUAUUUUUCUCCCCUAGAUUCUGAGAUAUAAAGAAAAUGAGACAUUCCUUCCCACCCCCAAGGAGGUUUGGUUUGCUUGUUUGGGGAUAUAUGUUAUAUGUUAACAUGUAACAUAUAAUUAUGUGUUACAAUACAGCUUGGACACUUGAGGCGUAUGAGAGGCAGAGUGAUUGCCCAGCGGAAGGAAUGGUCAACCCUCUGGCUGGAAGGGGUCACAGUGAUGUGAUAUAAGAAGACAUGGUCCUUUUCCCAAAUAUGAUUUUGACAAGUCAAGACGAUAAUGUAAUCCGUGCAUUUCAUAAGCCCUGAAAUUUCCUCAAGAAGAACUUAGUUUUUAUUCUCUGCGUUGUGUUUGUGAGGGAGGUGGAAGGCUGGUUUAUACCCCAAAAGCUAAGGCAUUAAAUAGCUUAGGUUAUGCUUUAGUAUUGUAGCAAGGAGCAGCACUAAUAUUUCUAAUUUUUUAAACUUUUAAUGCCUAUUUUUUGCAGAUUUAAAAAAAAAAUCAAAACCAUAACUGUGAGUCCCUCCUAUUUGCAAAUUCUUCUAGAAUGUUAACGUAGAUAAUUUUAUUUUAGAAGUGAAAUAUUUGGAAAAUUUAAAAAAUAUUUUAUGUGUUAACAGAGCAUCUGCCACCAUAAUUUCAUUUAUAUCCCCCCUCUUCCCCCCCCGCCCCGCCCUGGGUGCUUCGUUGAAAUUAGGAAAUGAAUCCCAAAGGGAUGACUAGUUAUAACGUUGUGGUUCAGUUGUCAAGCAGGUCCCAAGUUUGAGUAGGAUAAACUCUCCUACCACCUUCUAGGACAUUGUUGGUGCCAGGGCUUAUGCUUAGUUCUGGGACUUAGGCAGUCAUUCUUGCAGGUGGUUUCUAGCUUUUUAUCACCUAAUGGCCUUCUUACAACUUGGAGAAAAAAAGCCGUAUUUACCCUUCCCAGUUCCCUGCCCUGGGCAAUAUCAGACAUGCUGCAGGACAGGCACAAGCCAAGUAGAAGGCAGUGUGUUUGAGGCAAGUGCGUGAUGAACUUUGGAGAUUGGAGUUGAGUGUUGAUAGGCAGGAAUGUGUCUGGUGGACCAGGACAAGAGAGCAAAGGCUUAGAGGAAAGAUGCAUGCUUCCUAAAGCCAGGCUGUGGUUCAUCUGCAGCAGUGAUAAGAGAGGCUUGUAAUAGCUGUAUAUGACAUGUGUGUGAACUUGGUCUUUGGGGAAAUAGGAUGCCACUGAAGCAUUUUAAGUAGGAGAAUCACAUCAGAGUUUUGUAUUAGAAAAAUUCUUUGAAGGUAAACUGCAGUGGAGAUGGAAGCCUGUUAAAAAGUUCUGUGAUGGUUAUCUGUACAAAAUGCAGUGUUAAUUAAAAGACACAAGCAUUUUAUGCUGUUUAUGUGUGGGUACAGUACAGUGUAAGAUACUGUGUGGAGAAGAAAAUGUAGAUAAGGUUCUUAUCUGUUCUCAGCUAAUUUAAAAGCUGGAAGGGAAAUAAGGCACACCCAUGAACAUACACACAAUCGUACAGGGAACAUAUGACCAUCCCUGUGAGAGGCGUAAACAGCUUGCUGGGAAAUUCCGUAAAAGGAGGAUCCCUCUGGUUAGAGGAGAGGGAGAUGUUUGCAUUUUCUUUGCAUUCACUUUAAAUUGUUACUAAUGCAUUUCUUUAAGGAAAUUACAUAAAAUAUUUUUACAGCAAAACAUAAAGGGUCGGGGGGGAGUUUCUUAAAUAGUUUGGAGAGUUUAAACUAGUUGGGCAGAUUUUUUUUUUUUUUUUUUCUGGUUUAAAAGAUCUGGCAUUGCUGUGAGCUGUGGUGUAGGCUGGCAGUUGUAGCUCUGAUUAGACCCCUAGUCUGGGAACCUCUGUAUGCCUCAGGUGUGGCCCU